ACAAUAGGGUUGUGUGUCAUAGGAACACCCUCAGAGAGGCCCAUCAGAGGACUACCUAUAAACCAAAGCUGAAUUUAGUUUGUACUAAAAUACAGUAUUGUUACAUUAUAAUACAAACUAUAAAAUAUCCCUGAGUCCACACUGUAUAAAUAGAUGAUUCAAUAAAUAAUUAAGUGUGGAAAAUAGACAAAUCUCCCAUACAGAAAGAUUCCAAAUAAUUUAUGCAGUUACUUAGCUCUUUGAGAUGGUGCAUAACUAUUCAUUCCUUAAACAGUCAUUUCAGAGAGUAAAGUAUGGAAAAGGUGGCAAAGACAUUAACUUUACAGUGGAAAAUUCUGACAAACACUGCUUCAGUCAGUUGUUCAGUGUUAACAUCAAUAUGUCAUGUUGAUGGUAUGUACCUAGAUAUGAUGUAAUGGUAAUUACAUUUUACCAUUUUGAUCUACCUCCUAAGAACUUAAAACCCUAGUCUCUUUACAAGAUAAAUGGCCAACCAAUCUCAAUUGAAAAUUAUUCCUCAAAAUGCUUGACCAUUAUUCCUUAAAACUCUCAAGGUCAUCAGAAACAAGGAAAGUCUGAUAAAAUCUUAUCCAAGAGGAUUUUUUUUUUUCUUUUUAGGGCUGCACCCACAGCAUAUAGAAGUUCCCAGGCUAGGGGUGAAAUCUGAGCUGCAGUUGCCUGCCUAAGCCACAGUCACAGCAAUACCAGAUCCAAGCCAUGUCUGCGAAUUACACCACAGCUCAUUACAACCCUGGAUCCUUAACCCACUGAGUGGGGACAGGGAUUGAACCCACAUUCUCAUGGAUCCUAGUCAGGUUAGUUACCACUGAGCCAUGAUGAGAACACCUCUGAGAAUAUUUUAAAGAGACAUGAUGACUGAAUGUCGUGUGAUAUACUGGAUGGAAUCUUGGAACAGAAAAAGGAUAUUAGAUAUUUAAAAAAGGAAAUAAAGUGUGUAGUUUAGUUGACAACAGUGUAUCAAUAUUGAUUUAUAAAUUAUAACAAAUGCACCACAUUAAGUCAAGAAUGAUAAAAAUCAUAUAUAGUAACUAUUUUCACAAUUUUUCUAUAAAUCUAGACUGUUCUAAAGUUGAAAGUUAUUUGAAAAAUAACGACAUGAUUCCUACCCUUCAAAAAGCUAGAAUGUUGUAAGGAAAUUGAUGCAUAUGUAGGAAUAUAGAGGAAUCAACAAACCUCAAGGCUUUUAAAAACAUGAAAUUCUACUACUGUUUUAUUUUUCUUCUAAAUAACACUGCCUAUGUUUGGUAUACAGUUCUCUGAAUUUUGACAAUUUCUAAAUUUAUGUAACCACUAUCACAAUCAGAAUACUGGACAGUUCUCUUGUCCCCCAAAAUUCCUUUUUUAACACUUCUCUCAGACUCUGAACGCUUGACAGUCAGUUGUUCUACAUCACUAUCAUUUGGUCAUUUUAAAAUCAUAUGGUAUAUAACUGUUUGAGACAACCUUAUUUCCCUUUCAAUUUAUAUAAGUUGUGUGAAUCAAUAGUUUUCCCCUUUUUAUCACUCAGUGUUAUACUUCUGUAUGGAACUACCACAGUCUGUUUAUUCAUUCAUUUAUUGAAAAACAUUUGGGUUGUUUCUGGUUGUGGGCAAUUAUGAAUGGAGCUGUUACUCAUGCACAGAUUUUCGUGUGAAGAUAAGCUUUAAUAUACAUAAGUUAAUUACCUUUGAGUGGGACUUCAAGAUCACUGCACUAAGUGUAAAUUUAACUUCAUGAGAAAAUUUCAAGUUAUUUUCCAGUUCGUCUCUUAACAUUUUGGUUUCUCUAUCAGCAAUGUAUGAGCGUUCCAGUUGCUCCACACCCUCACCAACACUUGAUUUUUUUUUUUUUUUCCUUAAUGUUCUUUUUUUUAAAUUUUAAUUUUAGCUAUUUUAAGAUCAUUCAUUGUGGGUUUAAUUAAUAAUUUUGAAUAUUUUUUCAUGUUUAUAUUUGCUAUCAGUAUAGCCUCUUUGGUAAUGUAUUCAUGUCUUUUCUCUCUUUUGGUUUUUUUAUUUUUAUUAGAAUAUAGUUGAUUGACAGUGUUGUGUCAAUUUCUGCAUAAAUUGAAUUGUGUUUCUUACUGCAGCAUUUUGAAAGUAACAUACUUUUUGUUUUUUUUGUCUUUUAGGGCUGCACCCGCAGCAUAUGGAGGUUCCCAGGCUAGGGGUCCAAUCCGAAGUGUAGCUGCUGGCCUACACCACAGCCACAGCAACACAACACAGUAUCCAAGUCGUGGCUAUGACCUACACCACAGCUCACAGCAACACUGGAUCCUUAACCCACUGAGCAAGGCCAGGGAUCGAACCUGCAUCCUCAUGGAUGUAGUCGGUUAUGCUGAUCACUGAGUCAUGAUGGGAACUCCCAUACAUUCUUAAGACAAGAUUUUUGUUGGAUAUUUAUUUCUUUGUUUAUAGUGGCCUUUUUGUUAUAUUUCAUUAUCUCAGUAUCCUUCACUGCACAAUAUUUUCAAUUUUUAUAAAGUUCAGUGUAUUAAUUUUUAUAAGGAACAUGGUUUUGAUGUCAUGUAAAAAAGUAUUUACUUAACUCUUAAUCAUGAAGCUUUUUACCUAUAUUUUGUUCUAAAGCCUUAUAGAUUCUUAUUGUCUAUUUAUAUAUAUCAUCCAUUAUGAGCUAAUUUUUGUAUAAGGAAUGAGGUUUAGAUGUGGUUCAUAUUUUUUAUAUGUGGAUGUCCAAUAUACCCAAAUUGUUUGUUGAGAAGGUGAUGCCGUGUUUUACCAGUGACAUUACUUCAUUGCUGUCUAUUUUAAUCACAUCUCUUUUCUAGCCUUCUAGUUACUGAUAAUUCACUCUCUCACUGUUGCUUUCUCUGUAUAUCUCUCUCAUACACACACAAUCACACACAUUUUUGAUGAAUGAGAGAGGGUUUGGAUACAUACAGAUAUUAAACCUAAAAAGAAUUAAGAGGAAAGAUAGCUAAUUGAUGAGAAUUGACUGAUAAUAACUUAGGAAUUGGAAAAACUGAAAAGCAGAUUUCAAGGGCACAAAUGACCCCAGAAUUUCAAUUCCAUAACAAACACGAAAUAUUUAAACAUAAGAUUUGCUUAUUUUUGUUCAGGUAAUAAUGUGUUUUAUCUGUACACAACUUGUAAAAUGAGUAUUUAUGCAACAUAUAUGACUAUCUAUACAUAUAUUAUAAUCCUAUUUGAGAUUUAUUGGAAAACAAACAUAUGUAUAUAUAUAUAUGAUAUAUAUAUAUAACAUACAUAUAGCAUGUAUAUAUAUGUGUGUGUGUGAGUGUAUACAUAUAUAUAUAUAUAUGUAUAUGUAUAUAUCCUAGAAGUUAUUCUUAAAAUAAAGCUUUAAAUUGGUAAAGUAUCCUUCCAUAUGCUUAUUGGACUGUUCCUAUUUAUUAAUUUUUAAAUUAUUUUUUAUUUCUUAUGGCCACAUCCACAACAUAUGAAAGUUUCUGGGCUAGGGAUUGAAUCUGAACCAUACCAUAGCAAUGCCUGAUCCUUUAACCCACUGCACCAGGUCCAGGGGUCGAACCUGAAACUCCACAUUGAAGUGAGCCAUACCUCCGCAGGGACAUGAGUUGCUGCAUUCAGAUUCUUAACCCACUCUGCCACAGCAGGAACUCUGAACUGUUUCUACUUAAAAAGUAUUUUUUUAGAGAGACUCGUGUAAAAUCUUAAAAGUUCUAUGAGGGAGCAUUAUGAAAUAAACAUGAUGAUAAUGUAGCAUGAGACAUUCGUUAAGCCUAUGACGAUUCCAUGCUAUUGAAAAUUGUCAUUAUACAUGUUUUGACAAAAAUAUGGAUAUUGUAAAAAAAAGAACAAAAUAAAACCUGUUGGGUGAAAGUAGUCCAGAGAGGCCAAUGUGGAUGGCACCCUUCCUUUUCCCAUAAUUGCACUGUAAAAUUUGAUUAGAGUUUAUUAUUGGCAGCCUCAGUACAGAAGAAAGUUUUGGUCUCAUUGUGGCUAACCUAACUAUUUAAAAGCUUGACUUCCUCCAUUGAUUUGCAUCUGGUUUGUUAUCAUGGUUUCAAGCUUAUGUAAAAGAUUUUUUAUCUGGCAAUAAACAGCAUCAGGAUAUUCAUAGAAUUUCAUAUACUAAUCUCAACAUUUGAGAGGAAUCUGAGUGUCAAUAUGGACAUUUUAAAUAAAUCAUGAGAAUUUUUUGGAUAUCCUAAAUCGAAGCCUGAUGAGUGAAGACACAGAAAAUAUCUUCCAUUUCAUCUUCAAUUUAUUAACAUUGAAGCUAAAAUACCAAUGUAAUAAAUCAUUGCUACUUAUAACACAGUCAUUUUAUAAUGAUCUGAACUACAUAUGUAAAUGGUUAAAAGCUUAGACUCCCUGGAGGAAAAUUUAGCUGAAAUAUCCCUUUUUCUAGGAAGUCAUCUCUGGAAGCCUUUGUCCCAGGGGAUACCCGAUCUUUUGCAAUGCAUUUAACCUUGUAGUAUAAAUGCACAUCUAUUUGUAUGGAAGUGAAGACCAAAGACAGAGAUGCAAUGUCUUUUUUGCCUUUGUACUCAAAGCACUUCAUGCACUGUAUGACUUGUGGUGGCUAUUCAAUAAAUAUUGUUAAGUUAAUGAGUGGAAGGAUGAAGCCUGAGGAAACAAAUAAAUGGUGUGACUUAUUAAUAUAUUUAUGAAACUCUCAGAAAGUUCAUGCUUAGCAGAGAAUAGAGAUUUUGUUAGUGGUGCACAAGAUAACAUAUUUUUUGCCAUAUUCAUUUGUAAGAUAGCUUGUGAAUUCAUAAUAUACUGCAUUCUGGAAAAUGGGUCAUUUGAUUUUUCCAAACAUCUUUGUAAAUACCCUCAUAUAACCAAUAACGCCAAGACAUGGUGGCCUGAAAACUGACAUUUCACAAUCAUGUCAGUCAGCAUCUUAUGCUAAAUGCAGCUGGCCUGUUCUGCUGCUCUCAUCCAACUGAGUUACCUGGAGGCUCAAAUGAGGCUACGUAUUCUAAGGUGGACGUAUAUAUACAUGUGUGGCAGCUCAGGUUGGCUACUGGUUGGAUUACAUGUUUUUAGCAGGCUAGCCCUGGCUUAUUCAUUAUUCCAGGGAAGAAUUUCCAGCUGUGAGAGAGGACAACUCUCACUGUGUGAGUGUCUGUCGAAUUCUUCCUUGUGUCAUAUUUGCUAAUAUCUUGUUAGUCAAAGGAAGUCCUAGGGACAACCUCAAGUCAAUGUCAAAGGCAUAUGAACAGAGGGAAUUAUAAUUAACAGUGGGGACAUUGUUAUACAAUGUAACAUAUGAAGUAUACUGCCUUGGCAAAUUGUUCAUCAUAUGACAACAGUACAGUGCACAGCCUAGAUUAUAUCUAACAGUGAAAUCAUGGCUCAUUCACAGUAGGUUCUAUUCAGGAAUAAUAAUAAUGAUAAAAAAAAAAAAACCCAGGAAACAAGGUGAAAAUUACCUUCCAAUUAUUCCCAAGUACUGGAUCGGGAUUUUUGGCAAACCAUUAUGAAGCAUAUUUUCUUCUGGGAUUAUAAUAGGACACCUAAUUGAAAUGUUUUUCAAAUAAGAUUUUUUAAAGUACUUAUGCAGCAUAACCUAAUUAUAAGGCAAUCUCUGACUUAUGUAUAUUUCAUCAAUUUGUUCAUUACUUAUGUGUAGUCAACCCAAGAUGUGAAACUACUAAAACUCUUCUAAAUGUAUUCUCUCCCUAAGGACUUCUAUUUAUGUCAGGAAAUCAUUCUCUUCCCACUCUUCCCACAGAUUAGUUCACAUAAACCCCAAUAAUUCAUCAUAUGUCAGCUUUCCCUGGGAAAUCACCCACCAAACAAGGUCAGUGUCCUCUCUUAUUAACAUUUACUGCAAUCAGAACCUUCCUUAUAAUACCACUUUAGUCAUGCUUAGCUUAGUCAAGUCAAUAUCCAUGCUCCCUCUACUUCAGAGCAUGCUCCUUGAAAGCAAACCCCUGUUUUGCUUAUAUUACAUUCCCAGCAUCUAAAUUAGGUGCUUAAUAAGUACUUCUACAUUUCACAUACAAAUUUGUGAUUCACAUAUAUCCUGGAUUCUUGAAUUCAAGGUUAUAAAUCUUUGUAUCUUCAGAGUCAAACAUAAACAGUACCCACAAUUAGUGUUCAAUAAAAAUUUAUUAAACUAAAUUUUAUUACAAAUUUGACAGCAUUUUUGGUCUUGUGCAAUAACCUAAUUACCAUAUCCAAUAUUGUUCCUAGAGGGAAAAUAUCUUCUGAAUUUUAAAAAUAUCCUAGUCCCAUUGGGGCUCAGCAGUUAACAAACCCAGCUAACAUCUCUGAGGACAUGGGUUUGAUCCCUGGCCUCGGUCACUGGCUUAAGGAUCUGGCAUUGCUGUGAGCUGUGGUGUAGGUUGCAGACGUGGAGCCCAUGUUGCUGUGGCUGUGGAGUAGGCUGGCAGCUACAGCUCCAAUUUGACCCAUAGCCUGGGAACCUUCAUAUGCCACAGGUGUGGCCCUAAAAGACAAAAAAAAAAAAAAA
RNAcentral lists this long non-coding RNA (6426 nucleotides) under Sus scrofa (pig). RNAcentral describes it as "lncRNA (ENSSSCG00055009122.1)". The record is from RNAcentral. Lineage: Eukaryota; Metazoa; Chordata; Mammalia; Artiodactyla; Suidae.